Molecule: long non-coding RNA, 2595 nt
Organism: Dromaius novaehollandiae (emu)
Lineage: Eukaryota; Metazoa; Chordata; Aves; Casuariiformes; Dromaiidae
Exons: 3
Source: RefSeq, a predicted model, not a curated record
GGCUAAAUGUAGCCCGAGAAGCGCAGGGCUGGUGCCUUUGUAUGUGGCAGCCCAUGAACCACAUAAUUAGCAGUUGUUCAGUUCUUCUGAAUCUCGUGAGGAUAUUUGCUUUAGCCUUGCCAAUCUUUAGGAGUGAUAACUGUAUAAAAUAACUUUUUUCCACUGAGCUCAUUUAAAAUUGUAAUGCAGAAUGUUAGAAAAUGAAGUCCCCCACUUUAAAAAAAGAAUUUUAAUUAUUUGUUAUUUGCUUUCUUUUUGAGAAAAUGAAGUUGUGGAUAUUUGCACUUCGCAAGAGACAGUUUUGUUCUGAGGUAGAGCAGAAGACCUAAGAUAAACCAGCUGUUGGCAAAGUCAAGGUCUGGGCAGAUGGAGCUUGAUGCUGCAAUAAUUUGCUGAAGCCACUCCAUAUUUUGUUCUCAGCAAGGAAAAAGCUAUACUGAAUCCAAUGACAAUCAGUUCCAUUACUUCUUGAAGACAUGUAAACUUUCAGCUUUCAGAACAUCUCAUGCCAAGGAAUAUUAUCUUCAUAUAUCUUCAAGCAGAAAAGUGGAAACCUUCCAUCUAGUCUGGCUUUUGCUCGUCCAUCAAGAAUGUUAAAUCCAAGGAUAUUAUGAUUGUUGUUAUAGAGUGAUUCUUCAAAGACAACCUUUUGAAUCUGGCCCUGGGUUCUAGAAAGUCUCCCUCCAAAAGUCAGAUGAGAUUGUUAUGCUUGAAACAAAAAUCCCUGCAUCCUAGUUUUCAUUAUACUUUGAUGUUGCUUUUCAGAUAUUAGCUGUAGAAUAUAUAUUCAUCUUGCUCAAAAGAGCCAUACAACUGAGUACUGUUUUGCCAUGUUCUUGGCUUUAAGGACCAAUUUUCACUGCCAUCAUCUUAGAACUUGGCUAAGAGACUUUCAAUGGGAGUUGUAUUUGAUUUAUUUUCCAGCUAUAUCUGAUCUUAACAAAUUACACAUAUAAAUCCUCUACUUGGUAUAUAUUGUCAUAAAGAGGGAUCGAGAUUGCACUGACAACUCAUUUUGUGUUCAGAAGUAUAUAUCAAAUCAACUACUCAGCAGUAGGAAUUUAAGAAAUUGACACGAUGUCAUCUCCAAGCAAAUAAAUUUUAUAGCAGGUUCUCUGACACAUGUAAACGGCUUGGCUCAAUGCUGUUAUCUAAACGCAGGCAGCUCCUACCAUAUUCGAUGCCCUGUGAUAACCGAGACAUCCACACAGGGCUGACAAAUAUCCACAGAAGACCUAUGUGGACCCUUCAGGAGAGGCAGCUUGGGGCUAGAUGGCCUACCACAGAGCAUCUCAAGGAUACUACGUCCCUAUGUUUAGGCAAGUAGAGACAUUCAGAGAACAGUAGGAGAUCACUUUAAAACAGAUUUUUAAAAAGCACUUCUUUAGAUAAUGGAUACUGGGAUUUUCUGCCCUGAAGGCUGUGGAGACAGACAGUGUCACUGGGUUCAAAAAGUAUUUCAAAAAUUAAAGAACAAUAUGUCCAUAAAUGGAUAUUAAAGGGAAUAGGCAGGGAUGUAGCCUAUAACAUCCACAGACAUUGGUCAGGCUCGCAUGUUCUCUCUAACUCGUGUUUGCUUUGUCCUUUGUCAGGGCCUGAGUACUGGGCUAGGGGGACCACUGGGCUGACCAAGUAAGGAACUUCUUAUGUUCUUACAUCUGUAACUGAAUCCUCCACUGUAGCACAGGAAAGAAAGAGGUAACUCUUAGGGGAACCAGAACAUUAUUUGAAAACUAUUUUACCUUUAGUUCACAACUUGUUUAAGAACUAGUCUUCCACCUUUUUGCUCGUGCCAAAACCCUUUUAUUAGUGGGCUCUCUGAGCUAUUCCACAUAAUCCACUUUCUAGAAGAGAUUACCUGCAAUCUUUCACCAAAAAGAAUUCCCUUCUGUUAAUAAAGCUUCUCCCUGUGCAGUUAACUCACAUAUGAUGCAGACAAAUUAUUGGCAUUUAAUAGAAAAAUCCCUUUAAUAAAAGCAUAUUCAUUCUGUGGUGUUCAGUGAUUAACGUAACCAAAUGCUUCCAAUUAAUUUUCCCCUUAAUUUGCAAUGAAUUCCUAUAAAUAAAGAGCUAUGCACCUGGACAGAUGAAGGAUUUCCCAUUUUCACCCAGUAUGAAGAGAAAGGAGAAAAAUGGUUGAAAAAGAAAGACCAAAAUUGAUGCUAACUUUAGCACAGUUAUACAAGUUCAUGCUGGCUGAGCCAUAGCUCUUAAAGAAAUUUCUGAGAACCACUAGUCAGUGGCAUAAUUGACUUUUGGUGGCUUCAAAAGGCCAUGAACACAGCUAAUAGUUUUUGGCAGUUCCAAAGGCAUUAAUCAUGAUCAAUGUGCAAUAUUAAAUAAGGCUCCUUCAAAAUGAAUAUAAAUUAAGACUGUAAUUCCAUCUCAGCCUUCUGGUGACUUGAGGAAACCACUUGAGUUUCACUCUCGUGGUUUAUGAUGUCCCCGGAAGCCUUUGAUGGAAUUAUAGCCUUAUUAAGUACAGUUGGGGUACAUUAUUCCUUAAACUAUUGCAGCUGUAAGUCAUUAUUCCCACUAGAAAUUAGAACUUGCUGUACUUUCAGCAGCCAUGUAAUCUCAAAGUAAGAUGGAGGG